AUACGGAAGGUCCGGGCGUUAUCCGGAUUUAUUGGGUUUAAAGGGAGCGCAGGCGGAGAUGCAAGCGUGACGUCAAAUUUCGGGGCUCAACCCCGUCUCGCGUCGCGAACUGCGUCCCUUGGUUGCGGGAAGGGGAGGCGGAACUCGUGGUGUAGCGGUGAAAUGCAUAGAUAUCACGAAGAACUCCGAUCGCGAAGGCAGCCUCCCGGCCCGUCGACGACGCUCAUGCUCGAAGGUGCGGGUAUCAAACAGGAUUAGAUACCCGGGUAGUCCGCACAGUAAACGAUGGACACCCGCGGUUUGGCCUGUAUGGCUGAGCCGCCAAGCGAAAGCGUUAAGUGUCCCACCUGGGGAGUUCGCCGGCAACGGUGAAACUCAAAUGAAUUGACGGGG
This 393-nucleotide ribosomal RNA is filed under the name uncultured bacterium. RNAcentral describes it as "partial 16S ribosomal RNA". It matches the Rfam family "Bacterial small subunit ribosomal RNA", at positions 523 to 918 of the family's 1533-position model. The record is from RNAcentral.